This 519-nucleotide ribosomal RNA is filed under the name Lysinibacillus macroides. RNAcentral describes it as "bacterial SSU rRNA". It matches the Rfam family "Bacterial small subunit ribosomal RNA", at positions 361 to 872 of the family's 1533-position model. Lineage: Bacteria; Bacillati; Bacillota; Bacilli; Caryophanales; Bacillaceae. The record is from RNAcentral.
AUCUUCCGCAAUGGACGAAAGUCUGACGGAGCAACGCCGCGUGAACGAAGAAGNCUUCGGGUCGUAAAGUUCUGUUGUUAGGGAAGAACAAGUACCAGAGUAACUGCUGGUACCUUGACGGUACCUAACCAGAAAGCCACGGCUAACUACGUGCCAGCAGCCGCGGUAAUACGUAGGUGGCAAGCGUUGUCCGGAAUUAUUGGGCGUAAAGCGCGCGCAGGUGGUUCCUUAAGUCUGAUGUGAAAGCCCACGGCUCAACCGUGGAGGGUCAUUGGAAACUGGGGAACUUGAGUGCAGAAGAGGAAAGUGGAAUUCCAAGUGUAGCGGUGAAAUGCGUAGAGAUUUGGAGGAACACCAGUGGCGAAGGCGACUUUCUGGUCUGUAACUGACACUGAGGCGCGAAAGCGUGGGGAGCAAACAGGAUUAGAUACCCUGGUAGUCCACGCCGUAAACGAUGAGUGCUAAGUGUUAGAGGGUUUCCGCCCUUUAGUGCUGCAGCUAACGCAUUAAGCACUCCGC